GUAAUGGAAAAGCAGUACAAUUGGGAGGCUUUUAUGGGUUUUGACUGUCAAUGAAAAGGAGCACGCCAGGAAUGAAUGGAAGACAUAGCAGCUACAGGACAGAUGUAGCGUGGUGUGAUAAGAGGUUAAGAAACUGGGUUAAAGAAGAUGUUGGAAAAAAUAUAAAUUCAAUAGAAUCAAGGCGGAUUACAAGACAAAGGCAUCAAAAAUACAAAAUACACCAGCCAUCAAAAACAUCACAAAGCAGGCAAGAAUGAUAUACAGCUCAGCAGCAAGAAAAUGAAGACUAGUGUGAAGAAUAAAAGAUAAAAAUAUUUCAGAAUUAACUACAAUUCUCCUGAACGUACCAUAAACAAAGAAAUUUCACCAUAUCCUAGCUAUGAGAUAAACUUUUCCAAGCAGAGACUUUAUGUUUCUUUAACAUAUUGCCAGGAAAUAAGUUUCACAUUUAACUCAUCAUUUCAGUAAAGGAAAAAUUAAUUUCUGAAUUCCUUAUGAGAGAGCUAAAGCACUACGGAAAGAACUGUUCUCCUUAAGAAGCAAUGGGGAAGAGGGAGGAAUCAUCACCCUGAACUACAAAAUGAGCAAAAAUUAAGCUAAAUUAAAAGAUAAGACUCAUAUGAGCAUUUGAUUAAAACUGUGCAUAGUAGUUCACCUUUUGUACAACAAGGAAGUCUACUAAAAAAGAACUGAACUUACAAAAGCCAUUGAAGAAGGUUCCAUGGGGCCUUGACAGAUCACAUGCUGGCAGCACUACUGCUGGAUUCUCAGUGGAAAUCUGGUUUGGUAUAAUUAACAAAAGGACUUGAACUACAGAAAGACAAGAGUAAUUUUUUUAACAUCAAAAAAAAAAAAACAGAGAGAGUAUAGAGCUUUUUUCAUUAGCCAAAAUGACUGAUCGUGCAUGCAAAGUUAAUGCACAAAAGAAGUGAGUGAGGGCUAGGGGGAAGUUGAACUGCAUGAUGAAUUUAUGUGGCACUUUUGUUCACAGUGGGUGGUAAAUUACAAUGACGUCCCCAUCACCACCACCUCCAAUGCAUGUUCCUUCCUUGAUCCAUCUCCUUUGUAAUUUAGGGAGAACACAUCUGUUAAGAGCGGAGAUAGGAAUUAUGUGGCCCUCCAAAUGAUAUUAGUCUUCAAGUCCCCCUGUCCAAACAGGCCUAUGAUGAGGAAUGCUGAGACCUGAAGGCCAACAUCUGGAGGGCUACAUGCUUCCAACUCCUUGUUAAGAUACUAGACUAUGUCUUCAGAGAUCUGGGUUGACAGAUCUACUCAGCUAUUAAAUUCACCAGGUGUGACCCAGCCUAUCCUUGUUUGUGGUGUUAUUAUGGGGAUACAAAUGGGAACGAACAUUGUGAACUAACUGCCAGACACAUGUGACAUGCAUGUAACAAAAUAAAUAAGAGAGAUCUUCGAGUUGCUCAGAUUGUUAAGGAUACCAGAUCCAGAAGGUAUUACGACUCGGGGUGUUAUUGAGUUACUGCUUUUCCCACACAACCCCACUUUGGACAGAGCCAAA
Molecule: long non-coding RNA, 1519 nt
Organism: Sceloporus undulatus (fence lizard)
Lineage: Eukaryota; Metazoa; Chordata; Lepidosauria; Squamata; Phrynosomatidae
Exons: 4
Source: RefSeq, a predicted model, not a curated record